UACGGGAUGCAAGCGUUAUCCGGAUUUAUUGGGCGUAAAGCGCCUGUAGGUUGUUUAAUAAGUCUGUUGUUAAAGACUAGGGCUUAACCCCAGGAAAGCAAUGGAAACUACUAGACUUGAGUAUGAUAGGGGUAGAGGGAAUUUCUAGUGUAGCGGUGAAAUGCGUAGAUAUUAGGAAGAACACCGGUGGCGAAGGCGCUCUACUGGAUCAUUACUGACACUCAGAGGCGAAAGCUAGGGUAGCAAAUGGGAUUAGAUACCCCAGUAGUCCUAGCCGUAAACGAUGGAUACUAAACAUUGCGUGCUCGCCGUGGUGUUAUAGCUAACGCGUUAAGUAUCCCGCCUGGGGAGUAUGCUCGCAAGGGUG
RNAcentral lists this ribosomal RNA (367 nucleotides) under uncultured phototrophic eukaryote. RNAcentral's name for it is "SSU rRNA". It matches the Rfam family "Bacterial small subunit ribosomal RNA", at positions 526 to 896 of the family's 1533-position model. The record is from RNAcentral.